AACGAACGCUGGCGGCAGGCUUAACACAUGCAAGUCGAACGCAUCCUUCGGGGUGAGUGGCAGACGGGUGAGUAACGCGUGGGAACAUGCCCUUCAGUUUGGAAUAACCCAGGGAAACUUGGGCUAAUACCGGAUACGCCCGCAAGGGGAAAGAUUUUAUCGCUGAAGGAGUGGCCCGCGUCUGAUUAGCUGGUUGGUGAGGUAACGGCUCACCAAGGCGACGAUCAGUAGCUGGUCUGAGAGGAUGAUCAGCCACACUGGGACUGAGACACGGCCCAGACUCCUACGGGAGGCAGCAGUGGGGAAUAUUGGACAAUGGGCGCAAGCCUGAUCCAGCCAUGCCGCGUGAGUGAUGACGGCCUUAGGGUUGUAAAGCUCUUUCGGCGGGGACGAUAAUGACGGUACCCGCAGAAGAAGCCCCGGCUAACUUCGUGCCAGCCGCCGCAGUAAAAC
This 453-nucleotide ribosomal RNA is filed under the name uncultured bacterium. RNAcentral's name for it is "bacterial SSU rRNA". It matches the Rfam family "Bacterial small subunit ribosomal RNA", at positions 29 to 526 of the family's 1533-position model. The record is from RNAcentral.